This 111-nucleotide transfer RNA is filed under the name Hypoxylon rubiginosum. RNAcentral describes it as "tRNA-Phe". It matches the Rfam family "tRNA". From Rfam's summary of the family: Transfer RNA (tRNA) molecules are approximately 80 nucleotides in length. Their secondary structure includes four short double-helical elements and three loops (D, anti-codon, and T loops). The record is from RNAcentral. Lineage: Eukaryota; Fungi; Ascomycota; Sordariomycetes; Xylariales; Hypoxylaceae.
GCGGGGAUAGCUCAGCUGGGAGAGCGUCAGACUGAAGUCCAACUUCAGGAUUCAUUCAUACGAGUCAAUCAUCAAAUCUGAAGGCCGUGCGUUCGAUCCGCACUCACCGCA